AUUGAACGCUGGCGGCAUGCCUAACACAUGCAAGUCGAACGAGUGGCGGACGGGUGAGUAAUGUCUGGGCAACUGCCUGAUGGAGGGGGAUCACUACUGGAAACGGUAUCUAAUACCGCAUACCAUCGGAUGUGCCCAGAUGGGAGUAGCUAGUAGGUGGGGGAAAGGCUCACCUAGGCGACGAUCCCUAGCGGGGCUGAGAGGAUGACCAGCAACACUGGAACUGAGAAACGGUCCUGACUCCUAGGGGAGGCAGCAGUGGGGAAUAGUGCACAAUGGGCGCAAGCCUGAUGCAGCCAUGCCGCGGGUAUGAAGAAGGCCUUCGGGUUGUAAAGUACUUUCAGCGGGGAGGCGUUACCCGCAGAAGAAGCACCGGCUAACUCCGUGCCAGCAGCCGCGGUAAUUC
RNAcentral lists this ribosomal RNA (406 nucleotides) under uncultured bacterium. RNAcentral describes it as "partial 16S ribosomal RNA". It matches the Rfam family "Bacterial small subunit ribosomal RNA", at positions 30 to 526 of the family's 1533-position model. The record is from RNAcentral.